AUGAUAAAAUAGCGCGGGCGGAGGGCGUUUUUAUAGAGGGUUUAAGGGGCUGUGUGGUGCUGAACCGUUGGGAUUAGUCGAAGGGGUUGGUUAAGCUAAGGGGCAGCGGCUCGAGGGGGAGGGUUGGGAUCGCGGUCUAGGCGGGCGAGCGGGCGCGUCGGUACCGCCUCAGGGAGCUGUACAGGGAGCUCCUGUAGUAGUUCUCGUUGUUCUUCCCGUUGAGGAGCAGGCCGCCCCCACCGGCGGCGGCGCUCCCAGCGGCGCCUAGACGGCGGCGGCGGCCUCCGCAGCCGGGGUUGUCCGCGCGGAAGUUCUCCAGCCCCUUGUCCCGCCGCGGGAUGGUCGGCGGCUUCCAUGCUUGCUUAGCGUGCCCGAUACGAAGCGCGGCAGCCGCCUCCUACCAGAAGGCGAAAGCGGCUCCGCCCCCUCCUACUAGACCACCAAAAGAGUGAGACCACACUGCGCUAGGUCCGGGGCCUUAGCCGCACCGUCGUGCUGUACAUGAGCCUGCGGAGACGCUCUCCGCCGCCGCCGCCCUCCCAGAGCCGAUAGCUCUGGCCGUGGUUCGAGGAGUAGUGGUUAAACCUGAAGCCGCAGAGUUGGCUCCUGGAGUUCCUCGAAAAGAGGCUCGACCCACUACACUUCGCUACGAACUAAGUGAUACUGGCUUCACCCUCCAGAUUCCCUUGUCGACUCCAAUAUAAACGUUCCGCACCACUACGACAACGUCGCGACUCCUUUAUGUUGUUACAGGUUGAACUACCGUUCGGAUACUUUUAUCUCUAUGAACCCUGAUUGUGAGGAUGACGAGGUCGGCGUGAUGGCUGGUUAUUACCUUCGAUACGAUCCUUACAACGAUUCUCACGUGGUUCCCCACAGAGUCGAUCAAACGGUGUCUUGUCUGGGGCACGUUCCCCACCCUCCCCAGCGGCACCGCCACCGCCUCCGUCACCUAGACCGCCAGCAGCACCCUUUCUCGCAUCAGUCGGUUCCAGACGACUUCUUGAACUACGACUCAACCUCUUCAUGGUACGUGUCCCAUGCUGCGGCUACGUCUGGUGGCUUAUUUAGCUGUAGAAACGUCGGAACUAUAAAGUUGUACUUUAAACUUCCCCGCGGGGAAACAAGGGCGAAAAACACGAUGAUAUACAAGUUCCCUGUUGUUUUGGAAAAUGAACAGUCCAAGAACCGAAUGACUUAACAUACCCAAUACACAGAUGUAUCUUGAUCUCAACUUACCUAUGGCCAGUUGGCCACUUGUGAUGACAAUACUUGUAAUGAACUAACGGAAAUCAAAGACGGAAGGAACUCCUUGCGUUCCUGAUUCCUGGUGGGUUCAACGAGGCGUACACUUUCAAUAACUUCUACAUACUCCACGAGUGUAAGGAAACGGCGGUUAGAUAGUACUCCGACUUUAAGUCUACACGGUACCACUAGUUCGAUUUGGGAAUAAAACCCACCAGAAACCCGCAACAAAGGGGCGACUUGCUAGAAAAUUCGAAGUCGGUAGAAAUCAUUCUCCACCAACGAUGAGAAUACAAUAAUAAUACGAUCGUAACGAAAUAAGAGAACGGGUAUCGUUUUGGUGUACGGUUGACCUCUGCAACACACUAGAAGGAAGGGGUCCACGAAUUGUUCAAUGGACCAUACCAAUAACACCGAAACGAUUAACACGAAGAAGUAUUCGUUCCACGUUUAGAUCGUUAUAAGAGAAGUGCAUGGCUCAGUGUACGGUCGACCUCCCCAUGACAAGAAAAUCUUCAAAACGCACUAGAAGGAAGAAGUCCCCAGUUGUUUCACAGACUAUACUCAUACCACCUAAGCGAUCAACCCGAAGAAUGACUUCUUCGUAAUUCCACGUUUAGAACGAAACGCUAGACAAUUGUCAAUUCCCAACGGUUAACCAAACCACCACGUGUCUAAAGGGUAAGCAACCUGCGGGGAAACCGGGGAACGUCGACGACUGAAGUAAAUACUACCAACCCGGAAAGACAAACUUUAAGUUGAUCCGUAGUUUCAUGAUAAACCUUGGGUUGAUUAGACCGACUAGAUAAGUUGAUAUAGAAAUAAGGAACGACCCCUAGACUUCGCAUCCAAGCUUAAAACGACAACCCAACGUACUAACGUCUACUUACUACCGAACGUCAACCGGUUAGUCGAAUUCUCAAAAACCACCGUACUAUUUGCCGUACUAUUUGGUGGCUUCAUGACUCAACGAAAAAAAGACAACAAAAUCAUAACAAAACAACGACGACGAUAACAAACCUUGACGGUAUAUCUAACACAACACAACCUAAAAUACGAAGACUCCUUUACCGUAAAGCGACACGAAGAAAAAAAC
This 2341-nucleotide ribosomal RNA is filed under the name Triticum aestivum (bread wheat). RNAcentral describes it as "partial small subunit ribosomal RNA". Lineage: Eukaryota; Viridiplantae; Streptophyta; Magnoliopsida; Poales; Poaceae. The record is from RNAcentral.